CCGUCGAAAUUUCACUUCGCAGACCCAUUUAAGCGAGUUACGCCCGUUUUUCUUGUACCGGCUCGGCUGCUAGGUAGGCAGCCCGUUGUACGCUGCCCGCCAGAUUCAAAAGACAAUCCCUUCAAACUCAAGUGUCUCUGAACAGGGGUGGUUUCUGUCGCCGCCGGGCCAUUUUAAGUGAGUUACGCCUGUUUUUCUCGGACCGGCUCGCGCGCCAGAUUCAAAAGACCACCCCUUAAAACUCAAGUUUCUCUGGACAGGGGUGGUUUCUGGCGGAACCAAAAGUAGUUUUGUGGUGCCCUGGUUCACCCCUGUCGGUUCGACUACUUUUCCGUCGAAAUCCGGACCCACCCAUUUUUGUUAAAAAUGGGAAGGCUAGCCUUUGUAAAUUUGGCCAAAAAUGAAAAAAAAUAAAAAUCGCUGGAAAUGAUUGGAAUUGGUCUAGGAGAGUCGCCUUUGACCUUCUCUGUCGAAAUUGCAUGCUUCCUGCCUCUUUUGCAUCCUGUUUCUUCGACUAUAAAAUUGCGUCUUUGGUUUGUCGCAGGAAGAUCGGCCUGGAGGUGACCUGACUUGGACAUCAGCAAAGCAGCCUAUGUGUCACCUGCAGUGUGCUGAGUUGGCGUCGCAGCACACAGCAGAAGGAAUCGCUCCUUUUUCUCAUGAUCGCAGGGAUGAAUCUGGUAUUCAGAUUCACCCCAAGUCACCAGCAGAAACAAGCCAGCUACUUGAGGAAGACUUACAUUUAUAAUGUAAAUGAUUUGAAACAAUAAAGAAUAAAAAAUGACUACAUCUGACAUUUUCCUUGAUUUCAUACACCUAAUUAGUUAAAAGCUGUGGUAACUGUGGAUGUAGUAGCAGACUGCCACCACUACAGCAGUGACGUCACGCGUUGCACGUAUUGUCCCCAUGCAAGGGGUCCGCUGACUCCACAGCGUUGAGCGGAAACGGCUCCGCUAGACCCUUCCACAAUGUGGGUUGAUGAAUGAAUUUACAGGGGGGUAAAAAAAAAAUAAUAACUGGACCAACGGUCAUCACUGUGACGCCAA
Long non-coding RNA from Frankliniella occidentalis (western flower thrips), 1046 nucleotides. RefSeq lists it as uncharacterized. The record is from RefSeq and is a predicted model, not a curated record. The transcript has 3 exons. Lineage: Eukaryota; Metazoa; Arthropoda; Insecta; Thysanoptera; Thripidae.